RNAcentral lists this ribosomal RNA (963 nucleotides) under uncultured bacterium. Its description in RNAcentral is "bacterial SSU rRNA". It matches the Rfam family "Bacterial small subunit ribosomal RNA", at positions 96 to 1037 of the family's 1533-position model. The record is from RNAcentral.
UGGCGAACGGGUGAGUAACAGGUGGAAAACCUGCCCUAUAAUGGGGGAUAACAGUUCUAACGAGCUGCUAAUACCGCAUACGACCUUUGGAUCGCAUGAUCCGAAGGUGAAAGGUGGCCUCUCUUUGAAGCUGCCGUUAUAGGAUGGUUCCGCCUCCCAUUAGCUUGUUGGUGGGGUAAUGGCCUACCAAGGCGACGAUGGGUAGCCGGCCUGAGAGGGUGUCCGGCCACACUGGGACUGAGAUACGGCCCAGACUCCUACGGGAGGCAGCAGUCGAGAAGCUUCGGCAAUGGGCGAAAGCCUGACCGAGCGAUGCCGCGUGAGUGAAGAAGGCCCUAUGGGUUGUAAAGCUCUGUCAGAUUGGGAAGAAAACUCUGCGGUUAAUACCCGUAGAGCUUGACGGUACCAUCAGAGGAAGCACCGGCUAACUCCGUGCCAGCAGCCGCGGUAAUACGGAGGGUGCAAGCGUUGUUCGGAUUCACUGGGUAUAAAGGGUGCGCAGGCGGCCCGAUAAGUCAGGGGUGAAAUAUGACGGCUUAACCGUCAAACUGCCCCUGAAACUGUCAGGCUUGAGUUCGAGAGAGGUAGGUGGAAUUCCAGGUGUAGCGGUGAAAUGCGUAAAUAUCUGGAGGAACACCGGUAGCGAAGGCGGCCUACUGGCUCGAUACUGACGCUCAGGCACGAAAGCAUGGGGAGCGAACGGGAUUAGAUACCCCGGUAGUCCAUGCCGUAAACGAUGGGUACUAGGUGUUGGAGGAUUCUACCCCUUCAGUGCCGCAGCUAACGCAUUAAGUACCCCACCUGGGGAGUACGAUCGCAAGGUUGAAACUCAAAGGAAUUGACGGGGGCCCGCACAAGCGGUGGAGCAUGUGGUUUAAUUCGAUGCAACGCGAAGAACCUUACCUGGGCUUGACAUGCAGGGGACAGGUGUAGAAAUACAUCCUUCUUCGGACUCCUGUACAG